UAGGGAAUCUUCCACAAUGGACGCAAGUCUGAUGGAGCAACGCCGCGUGAGUGAAGAAGGUCUUCGGAUCGUAAAGCUCUGUUGUUGGUGAAGAAGGAUAGAGGCAGUAACUGGUCUUUAUUUGACGGUAAUCAACCAGAAAGUCACGGCUAACUACGUGCCAGCAGCCGCGGUAAUACGUAGGUGGCAAGCGUUGUCCGGAUUUAUUGGGCGUAAAGCGAGCGCAGGCGGAAUGAUAAGUCUGAUGUGAAAGCCCACGGCUCAACCGUGGAACUGCAUCGGAAACUNUCAUUCUUGAGUGCAGAAGAGGAGAGUGGAACUCCAUGUGUAGCGGUGGAAUGCGUAGAUAUAUGGAAGAACACCAGUGGCGAAGGCGGCUCUCUGGUCUGCAACUGACGCUGAGGCUCGAAAGCAUGGGUAGCGAACAGGAUUAGAUACCCUGGUAGUCCAUGCCGUAAACGAUGAGCGCUAGGU
This 474-nucleotide ribosomal RNA is filed under the name uncultured bacterium. RNAcentral describes it as "partial 16S ribosomal RNA". It matches the Rfam family "Bacterial small subunit ribosomal RNA", at positions 355 to 821 of the family's 1533-position model. The record is from RNAcentral.